GGUUCCACGUGUGGUGUUUGUGGAAUUUGGCCUGCCCAAUGACUUGUAUUUAAUGGCCGCGGUAUUUUGACCGUGCAAAGGUAGCAUAAUCAUUAGUCCUUUAAUUGAGGUCUGGGAUGAAGGGUUGGACGUAGAAGGUGCUGUCUUAGGCAGUAAUAGUUUAUUGAAUUUUAUUUUUAAGUGAAAAGGCUUAAAUGACCCUGGGGGACGAUAAGACCCUAUAGAUCUUUAUGGUUGGGUUUAAAAAGCAAAAAUUGUUGAAUUUAACCAUUAUGUUGGGGUGACAAAGAGGGGUAGUUAGCUCUCUUAUGAGAAGAAUACACAUUGGUAUGAAGAGAUCCACGGAUAGUGAUAAUUAGAUUAAGUUACCUUAGGGAUAACAGCGUAAUUUUACUUAAGAGUUCUUAUCGGCAGUAGAGUUUGCGACCUCGAUGUUGGAUUAAGGGAUCCUAGUGGUGUAGCAGCUACGGGGGAAGGUCUGUUCGACCUUUAAAUCUUUACA
This 502-nucleotide ribosomal RNA is filed under the name Anelpistina sp. 2 LE-2012. RNAcentral's name for it is "partial 16S ribosomal RNA". It matches the Rfam family "Bacterial large subunit ribosomal RNA", at positions 1825 to 2600 of the family's 2925-position model. Lineage: Eukaryota; Metazoa; Arthropoda; Insecta; Zygentoma; Nicoletiidae. The record is from RNAcentral.